RNAcentral lists this ribosomal RNA (460 nucleotides) under uncultured bacterium. RNAcentral's name for it is "partial 16S ribosomal RNA". It matches the Rfam family "Bacterial small subunit ribosomal RNA", at positions 338 to 795 of the family's 1533-position model. The record is from RNAcentral.
CCUACGGGAGGCAGCAGUGAGGAAUAUUGGUCAAUGGACGCAAGUCUGAACCAGCCAUGCCGCGUGCAGGAAGACGGCUCUAUGAGUUGUAAACUGCUUUUGUACGAGGGUAAACGCAGAUACGCGUAUCUGUCUGAAAGUAUCGUACGAAUAAGGAUCGGCUAACUCCGUGCCAGCAGCCGCGGUAAUACGGAGGAUUCAAGCGUUAUCCGGAUUUAUUGGGUUUAAAGGGUGCGUAGGCGGUCGGAUAAGUUAGAGGUGAAAUCCCGAGGCUCAACUUCGGAAUUGCCUCUGAUACUGUUCGGCUAGAGAGUGGUUGCGGUAGGCGGAAUGUAUGGUGUAGCGGUGAAAUGCUUAGAGAUCAUACAGAACACCGAUUGCGAAGGCAGCUUACCAAGCUACUUCUGACGUUGAGGCACGAAAGCGUGGGGAGCGAACAGGAUUAGAUACCCGUGUAGUC